Long non-coding RNA from Nematolebias whitei (Rio pearlfish), 212 nucleotides. RefSeq lists it as uncharacterized. The record is from RefSeq and is a predicted model, not a curated record. NCBI's taxonomy places the organism in Eukaryota, Metazoa, Chordata, Actinopteri, Cyprinodontiformes, Rivulidae. The transcript has 3 exons.
AGCUUGGAGGUGAUGCAGAGCCAAGCAGAAGUUCGUGUUCAAACGAUCCUGUUGAAGACAGUUUCUGAAACGACUACACCUGGAUUUUAAGCAGAAUGAUGAGAAUAAAAACCCACCGGAGCGUCUCUUUGAUGACGGCCUUCAGGUACGGCAUGUGAGUGAUGUCAUCGCUGGUCGGCACCUUAUCUCCAGGACAAACACCGACCACUUCC